This 22-nucleotide microRNA is filed under the name Glycine max (soybean). Its description in RNAcentral is "gma-miR5376". Lineage: Eukaryota; Viridiplantae; Streptophyta; Magnoliopsida; Fabales; Fabaceae. The record is from miRBase by way of RNAcentral.
UGAAGAUUUGAAGAAUUUGGGA